RNAcentral lists this ribosomal RNA (811 nucleotides) under uncultured bacterium. Its description in RNAcentral is "bacterial SSU rRNA". It matches the Rfam family "Bacterial small subunit ribosomal RNA", at positions 35 to 893 of the family's 1533-position model. The record is from RNAcentral.
GCUGGCGGCACGCCUAACACAUGCAAGUCGAGCGCCCCUUUCGGGGGGAGCGGCGGACGGGUUAGUAACGCGUGGGAACAUACCCUUUUCUAUGGAAUAGCCUUUGGAAACGAAGAGUAAUACCAUAUACGCCCCUCGGGGGAAAGAUUUAUCGGUGAAGGAUUGGCCCGCGUUAGAUUAGAUAGUUGGUGGGGUAACGGCCUACCAAGUCAACGAUCUAUAGCUGGUUUGAGAGGAUGAUCAGCAACACUGGGACUGAGACACGGCCCAGACUCCUACGGGAGGCAGCAGUGGGGAAUCUUAGACAAUGGGCGCAAGCCUGAUCUAGCGAUGCCGCGUGAGUGAUGAAGGUCUUAGGAUCGUAAAACUCUUUCGCCUGUGAUGAUAAUGACAGUAGCAGGUAAAGAAACCCCGGCUAACUCCGUGCCAGCAGCCGCGGUAAUACGGAGGGGGUUAGCGUUGUUCGGAAUUACUGGGCGUAAAGCGUACGUAGGCGGAUUAGUAAGUUAGGGGUGAAAUCCCAGGGCUCAACCCUGGAACUGCCUCUAAAACUGCUAGUCUAGAGAUCGUGAGAGGUGAGUGGAAUUCCGAGUGUAGAGGUGAAAUUCGUAGAUAUUCGGAGGAACAUCAGUGGCGAAGGCGGCUCACUGGCACGAUACUGACGCUGAGGUACGAAAGUGUGGGGAGCAAACAGGAUUAGAUACCCUGGUAGUCCACACCGUAAACGAUGAAUGCCAGACGUCASGGGGCUUGCCCUUUGGUGUCACACCUAACGGAUUAAGCAUUCCGCCUGGGGAGUACGGUCGCAAGA